This 150-nucleotide non-coding RNA is filed under the name Pantoea wallisii. RNAcentral's name for it is "FMN sequence". It matches the Rfam family "FMN riboswitch aptamer (RFN element)". From Rfam's summary of the family: The RFN element is a highly conserved domain that is found frequently in the 5'-untranslated regions of prokaryotic mRNAs that encode for flavin mononucleotide (FMN) biosynthesis and transport proteins. This element is a metabolite-dependent riboswitch that directly binds FMN in the absence of proteins. Lineage: Bacteria; Pseudomonadati; Pseudomonadota; Gammaproteobacteria; Enterobacterales; Erwiniaceae. The record is from RNAcentral.
GCUUAUUCUCAGGGCGGGGCGAAAUUCCCCACCGGCGGUAAAUCAGCUUCGGCUGAAAGCCCGCGAGCGCUUUUGCUGUAAGGCGAAAGGUCAGCAGAUCCGGUGUAAUUCCGGGGCCGACGGUUAAAGUCCGGAUGGGAGAGGGUAACG